This 842-nucleotide ribosomal RNA is filed under the name uncultured fungus. RNAcentral's name for it is "eukaryotic LSU rRNA". It matches the Rfam family "Eukaryotic large subunit ribosomal RNA", at positions 58 to 821 of the family's 3401-position model. The record is from RNAcentral. Lineage: Eukaryota; Fungi.
AAAGAAAGUAACAAGGAUUCCCCUAGUAACGGCGAGUGAAGCGGGAAGAGCUCAAAUUUAAAAUCUGGUUUGCUUGCAAAUCCGAGUUGUAGUCUGAAGAAGCGUUUUCCAUGAAAAUCGAGGCACAAGUCCUUUGGAACAGGGCAUCAUAGAGGGUGAGAAUCCCGUCCAUGGUCUCGAAUCUUUCAUUUUGUGAUACGCUUUCUAAGAGUCAGGUUGUUUGGGAAUGCAGCCUAAAAUGGGUGGUAAAUUUCAUCUAAAGCUAAAUAUUGGCGAGAGACCGAUAGCGAACAAGUACCGUGAGGGAAAGAUGAAAAGAACUUUGAAAAGAGAGUUAAAAAGUACGUGAAAUUGUUGAAAGGGAACCGUUUGAAGCCAGUCUUGCUUAUUUGUGAUCAGUUUUGGCUUUGGCCAGAAUGCACUCUCAAAUUAUGCAGGUCAACGUCAGUUUGAGAGGCGGGAAAAAAGCUUGAGGAAUGUGGCCUUCGGGUGUUAUAGCCUCUUGCUAAAUACCGUCUCAUGGACUGAGGCUCGCAGCAAAAAUUUGGGCAGGCGUGCUUCUGAGGGGAAUCAUUAUCAAGACAGCUUGCUGACUUGGUUUUGCCCAACUUCACAGUACGUUUCGCUUCUAAUUUGCUUAGGUCGUUGACAUAAUGGCUUUAAAUGACCCGUCUUGAAACACGGACCAAGGAGUCUAACAUAUAUGCGAGUAUUUGGGUGGCAAACCCACAUGCGCAAUGAAAGUGAAAUUAGGUGCCAAACCUUCACGGGUGGCAGCAUCGGCCGGCUCUGACGUUUUAACUGACGAGUCUGAGCAGAAGCAUACAUGUUGGGACCCGAAA